RNAcentral lists this ribosomal RNA (440 nucleotides) under uncultured bacterium. Its description in RNAcentral is "partial 16S ribosomal RNA". It matches the Rfam family "Bacterial small subunit ribosomal RNA", at positions 338 to 795 of the family's 1533-position model. The record is from RNAcentral.
CCUACGGGAGGCAGCAGUGGGGGAUAUUGCACAAUGGGGGGAACCCUGAUGCAGCGACGCCGCGUGGGUGAAGAAGGGCCUCGGCGCGUAAAGCCCUGUCAGCAGGGAAGAAAAUGACGGUACCUGAAGAAGAAGCCCCGGCUAACGACGUGCCAGCAGCCGCGGGAAUACGUAGGGGGCAAGCGUUAGCCGGAUUUACUGGGUGUCAAGGGGGCGCAGACGGCGCUGCAAGCCAGGAGUGAAAGCCCGGGGCCCCACCCCGGGACUGCUCUUGGAACUGCGUGGCUGGAGUGCAGGAGGGGCAGGCGGAAUUCCUGUUGUAGCGGUGACAUGCGUCGAUAUCAGGAGGAACCCCGGUGGCGCAGGCGGCCUGCUGGACUGCACCUGACGUUGAGGCCCGACAGCGUGGGGAGCAAACAGGCUUAGAUACCCGGGUAGUC